GAGCGCCGUAGCAAUACGGAGCGGCAGACGGGAGAGUAACACGUGGGAACGUGCCCUUCAGUUCGGAACAACCCAGGGAAACUUGGGCUAAUACCGGAUACGUCCGUAAGGAGAAAGAUUUAUCGCUGAAGGAUCGGCCCGCGUCUGAUUAGCUUGUUGGUGAGGUAACGGCCCACCAAGGCGACGAUCAGUAGCUGGUCUGAGAGGAUGAUCAGCCUCACUGGGACUGAGACACGGCCCAGACUCCUACGGGAGGCAGCAGUGGGGAAUAUUGGACAAUGGGCGCAAGCCUGAUCCAGCCAUGCCGCGUGGGUGAUGAAGGCCCUAGGGUUGUAAAGCCCUUUCGGCGGGGAAGAUAAUGACGGUACCCGCAGAAGAAGCCCCGGCUAACUUCGUG
Molecule: ribosomal RNA, 397 nt
Filed under: uncultured bacterium
Lineage: Bacteria
Description: bacterial SSU rRNA
Rfam family: Bacterial small subunit ribosomal RNA
Source: RNAcentral